GGCAUGCUUUACACAUGCAAGUCGAACGGUAACAGGGUGCUUGCACCGCUGACGAGUGGCGAACGGGUGAGUAAUGCAUCGGAAUGUACCGUGUAAUGGGGGAUAGCUCGGCGAAAGCCGGAUUAAUACCGCAUACGCCCUGAGGGGGAAAGUGGGGGACCGUAAGGCCUCACGUUAUACGAGCAGCCGAUGUCUGAUUAGCUAGUUGGUGGGGUAAAGGCUCACCAAGGCUUCGAUCAGUAGCGGGUCUGAGAGGAUGAUCCGCCACACUGGGACUGAGACACGGCCCAGACUCCUACGGGAGGCAGCAGUGGGGAAUUUUGGACAAUGGGCGCAAGCCUGAUCCAGCCAUGCCGCGUGUCUGAAGAAGGCCUUCGGGUUGUAAAGGACUUUUGUCCGGGAGCAAAUCCCAGUGGUUAAUACCUACUGGGGCUGAGAGUACCGGAAGAAUAAGCACCGGCUAACUACGUGCCAGCAGCCGCGGUAAUACGUAGGGUGCAAGCGUUAAUCGGAAUUACUGGGCGUAAAGCGUGCGCAGGCGGUUGUGCAAGUCUGAUGUGAAAGCCCCGGGCUUAACCUGGGAACGGCAUUGGAGACUGCACGACUAGAGUGCGUCAGAGGGGGGUAGAAUUCCGCGUGUAGCAGUGAAAUGCGUAGAGAUGCGGAGGAAUACCGAUGGCGAAGGCAGCCCCCUGGGAUGACACUGACGCUCAUGCACGAAAGCGUGGGGAGCAAACAG
This 739-nucleotide ribosomal RNA is filed under the name Chromobacterium violaceum. Its description in RNAcentral is "bacterial SSU rRNA". It matches the Rfam family "Bacterial small subunit ribosomal RNA", at positions 41 to 775 of the family's 1533-position model. Lineage: Bacteria; Pseudomonadati; Pseudomonadota; Betaproteobacteria; Neisseriales; Chromobacteriaceae. The record is from RNAcentral.